Molecule: unclassified non-coding RNA, 2606 nt
Filed under: Amphibalanus amphitrite
Lineage: Eukaryota; Metazoa; Arthropoda; Thecostraca; Balanomorpha; Balanidae
Description: uncharacterized LOC122376307, transcript variant X2
Source: RNAcentral
UUUUUCGGCUGUGGCGCGUGCGGGUGAGCCUGGUUUACGGACGCGGGUCGCGCAGUACAAGUACAAGAAGUGUUUAAGCCUUUAGAUACAAGUUUUGCAUAGGUUUUGUUCAACAUCGUCUCUGCAAGUGGAUGUUUAAUGUACAUUAUAUUACAGACAAUGGGCAAGACAUAUACCGGAAAGAGUUACAGCGCCAGGAGGAGACGAAUUCUUCAGAGAGUUAAUGAGCAUCUAACAGUAAUUGAAGAAGAGCAUGCUGCUGAAAAUGGAUUAGGUGUUACUGAUCAGGGCGCUACUAGGAAUGACCAUGAAGUUUUGUCAUCAACAACAACUGAAGAGUAUACUGCAGGCCCCUCUUUUGGGGAACAAUCGCGAGGUUAUGAUGCAUGUUCUGAAGAGCAGGCAUGCAAGGAAUCUGAUAUACAGCUCAGUAUGCCUUCAGCUGAGCAUGGGCAUGCACAGUUGAUGAGUCAUGAGCAGCAAAGCUCGCUAAAUCCAGGCACUGACAACAGAACUGGCCCUAGUCACAUCAGUGACAUUGAUGAGACCGAAGAUGGUCAGCAUGCAAAAAUGCUAAGAGAGUGGGCAAUGAAGCAUGGCAUCUCGCACAUGGCAGUUACUGACCUUCUGCAUAUCCUAUCCGAGGUACCUGUUCCAGGUAUACCAACAUCUGCCAGGACUCUGUUAAAGACUGAGCGAUGUAUAGAUGUCAAGAAGAAAGCAGGAGGUGAUUACUUUUAUUUUGGCAUAAAGGAAACUCUGCAAACCAUUGCAAAUCACCUUGAGCAUACAAGUAGCAGCAUGAGCACUCUUUCUCUUCAGCUGAACAUUGAUGGACUCCCAUUGUUUAGAAGCUCACGUACAUGUCUGUGGCCUAUCCUAUUCACUGUGAAGGAAUGGCAGAAAGAAGUGUUCAUGGCUGCAGUGUUCGGGGGAACUGAAAAACCAGCUUCCUUGACAGAGUUUCUGGCUGAUUUUGUGGAGGAGAUGAAAGUACUUGAAGCUAGUGGCAUUCAGGUUUCCAGCAGAAACUUCAAGGUUUUACUGACAUCAGUGGUUUGUGAUGCACCAGCUAGAGCAUUCUUGAAGUGUGUGAAAGGCCACAGUGGGUACCAUUCGUGUGAGAGAUGUGACCAAGCUGGUCGUCAUAUCCAGAACAGAAUGACUUUUCCUGAUAUGGGUGCAAAUGUUAGGAAUGAUCAUCUUUUCAAGCAGAUGCAAGAUGAAGAUCACCACACUGGCAUUUCACCACUAUCAGUGCUGAAUGUUGGGAUGGUUUCUUGUUUCCCUCUGGACUACAUGCAUUUGGUCUGCUUAGGGGUUAUGAGGAAGCUGGUAGCCCUGUGGCUGCAGGGUCCUUUACUCUGUAGGCUUCCUGGGCACGCAGUUAGAGAAAUAUCAGAACGCCUGAAAGGUCUGUAUGGAAGUGUGCCUCAGGACUUUGGACGACGACCAAGGUCAUUGAAUGAAUUCCGGAUGUGGAAGGCAGUGGAGUUCCGACAGAUUUUGCUGUACACCGGCCCAGUUGUGUUGAGUGGUGUCCUUCCAAAGAAAAAUUACCACCACUUUCUUCUUCUGUCUGUUGCCAUGCGCCUUCUCCUGAGUGAGAAGCCGACUGCGGAGGAGAUUGACUAUGCUGAGAAACUGCUACGCAUGUUUGUGGUGGAGUUCCCUGCAUUGUAUGGCAAAGAGAAUGUUGUUUACAAUGUGCAUUCCCUCAUUCAUAUCGCUGAUGAUGCCAGAAAGUUUGGGGGUUUAGAUGGCAUAUCUGCUUUUGUGUUUGAGAACUUCCUGAAGGACUUGAAGAAAUUGGUCAGGAAGCAGCAUCAGGUAGUUCCUCAGAUAGUGCGUCGGGUCCUCGAGGCACAACAGGUUGAUUCUUCACUAAAAGGGCUCGAGUCUAGUGUACAAGGUGAACACUUCAGUGGGCCAGUGCCAGACGAAUGCAAUGGGCACUACAGACAGUUCACAAAGUUGAACGGAAAAUUGGUACUCUCCAUCAAAGACAGGGACUGCUACAUUGAAUGCGAUGGAGGAAUUUUCAAGAUACUCAACAUCAUCCAGGACAAAUCGGGUGAGGUCAAGCUUGUGACCGAUCAGUUUGAAAAAGUGGGGGAUCAGUUCAGCUUCCCUUUGCCUUCAUCUAGUCUUGGCAUUGUUCAUGUCAGACAAGGAUCAAAGAGGAUGAAUGUUACUGACCUGAAGUCCAUCUCUCACAAGCUUUGGUUGAUGAAAGAUGCUCAUGGCGUUUCUAUCGUAGUUCCACUGCUUCAUAACGCCUAGAAAGUCAGAUUGCCAAUGCUGUUCUCCACUCCAUGGCAUCCAGUACAAGCCAUGUAUGCCAUCGUGGAGUUCGUGGGAGAGAACAGCACCGCUAUCAUCGCCCAAAGAUGGUUCGUGGACGCAGAGGAGACUUCUUGCUUUUGGCCUCCAAGGAAAGCUGAUGAGCAGGCUAGAAACCUUGCCCCGGCUUCACCUUCAUGGAACAAGCAUGACGUCAGGGUGCUUGGCAAAGCAGCAACCUAUGAGCGAGCCAGAGAAAAACUGACCCGAGCCGACGAAACUUCGGACCUGCAGACCGAGGACGAGGAAACUGCACGUAAACG